CCUGUGUAGUGGUUGGUUCUUCAUUUAAUAAACUGCUUAACUGUUUCUGUGCACAUGAGAGGAAAAGUUCCAAACUAGACAGAUUUCUCUGACGAAUAACUUGGUCAAGCCUUUUCUGCUCCUUAAUAUAUUCCAUUAGUUCCUCUCUUGUCCUUUUAACAGCUUCUUCAAUUGCCUUUUCACUUUGUUUUCGCUCCUCCAUUAAUGCUUCCUUGAUAAUUUCUUCAUUAUGUCUUCUUUGCUCUUGCAUUGCUUCCCAAACAGCCUGGGCAAUCUUCUUGUUAAGUCUCUCAUGUUCUGCUUUCCACAUAUUUCUUUCUUCUUCAUGAAUCUUCUCCAUAUUUCUCCUUUCCUCCUCUACAGCUUUCAGAACAACUUCCUGUACUAUUUCUUUUUCAGCCUUUGCAGCAGCUGCUACAGCCUCCUUACUUCUUUUUCUUUCUUCAUCCAAACAUUUGUCCAGCAUUUCCUUAUGUUUUUGUGACUGCUGCAUCAAAGCCUC
Molecule: long non-coding RNA, 502 nt
Filed under: Gallus gallus (chicken)
Lineage: Eukaryota; Metazoa; Chordata; Aves; Galliformes; Phasianidae
Source: RNAcentral